AUUGAACGCUGGCGGCAUGCCUUACACAUGCAAGUCGAACGGCAGCGGACCUUCGGGUGCCGGCGAGUGGCGAACGGGUGAGUAAUAUAUCGGAACGUACCUUUCAGUGGGGGAUAACGUAGCGAAAGUUACGCUAAUACCGCAUAUUCUGUGAGCAGGAAAGCAGGGGAUCGCAGGACCUUGCGCUGAUUGAGCGGCCGAUAUCAGAUUAGCUAGUUGGUGAGGUAAAGGCUCACCAAGGCGACGAUCUGUAGCGGGUCUGAGAGGAUGAUCCGCCACACUGGAACUGAGACACGGUCCAGACUCCUACGAGAGGCAGCAGUGGGGAAUUUUGGACAAUGGGCGCAAGCCUGAUCCAGCCAUGCCGCGUGAGUGAAGAAGGCCU
Molecule: ribosomal RNA, 385 nt
Filed under: uncultured bacterium
Lineage: Bacteria
Description: bacterial SSU rRNA
Rfam family: Bacterial small subunit ribosomal RNA
Source: RNAcentral